ACCAGCAGCUAUAUCACCCUACAAAUCAACUGGCAGCCCACUGAAGCUGCGCAGGUGUGAGCCUGGUCAGUACCUGGAUGGGUGACCUCCUGGGAAAGGUAAGAUUGCUGCUGGAA
This 116-nucleotide ribosomal RNA is filed under the name Lepisosteus oculatus (spotted gar). Lineage: Eukaryota; Metazoa; Chordata; Actinopteri; Semionotiformes; Lepisosteidae. The record is from RNAcentral.